This 446-nucleotide ribosomal RNA is filed under the name uncultured bacterium. Its description in RNAcentral is "bacterial SSU rRNA". It matches the Rfam family "Bacterial small subunit ribosomal RNA", at positions 355 to 823 of the family's 1533-position model. The record is from RNAcentral.
UCGGGAAUUUUGGGCAAUGGGCGAAAGCCUGACCCAGCAACGCCGCGUGAAGGAUGAAGUAUUUCGGUAUGUAAACUUCGUAAGAAUAGGAAGAAUAAAUGACGGUACUAUUUAUAAGGUCCGGCUAACUACGUGCCAGCAGCCGCGGUAAUACGUAGGGACCAAGCGUUGUUCGGAUUUACUGGGCGUAAAGGGCGCGUAGGCGGCAAUUCAAGUCAUCUGUGAAAUCUCCGGGCUUAACUCGGAACGGUCAGAUGAUACUGCUUUGCUAGAGUGCAGAAGGGGCAAUCGGAAUUCUUGGUGUAGCGGUGAAAUGCGUAGAUAUCAAGAGGAACACCUGAGGUGAAGACGGGUUGCUGGGCUGACACUGACGCUGAGGCGCGAAAGCCAGGGGAGCAAACGGGGAUUAGAUACCCAAGUAGUCCCUGAGCGGGCUGGCAAGGCGC